GACGAACGCUGGCGGCGUGCUUAACACAUGCAAGUCGAACGGAAAGGCCCUGCUUUUGUGGGGUGCUCGAGUGGCGAACGGGUGAGUAACACGUGAGUAACCUGCCCUUGACUUUGGGAUAACUUCAGGAAACUGGGGCUAAUACCGGAUAGGAGCCCCUGCUGCAUGGUGGGGGUUGGAAAGCUUCGGCGGUUGGGGAUGGACUCGCGGCUUAUCAGCUUGUUGGUGGGGUAGUGGCUUACCAAGGCUUUGACGGGUAGCCGGCCUGAGAGGGUGACCGGCCACAUUGGGACUGAGAUACGGCCCAGACUCCUACGGGAGGCAGCAGUGGGGAAUAUUGCACAAUGGGCGGAAGCCUGAUGCAGCAACGCCGCGUGCGGGAUGACGGCCUUCGGGUUGUAAACCGCUUUCGCCUGUGACGAAGCGUGAGUGACGGUAAUGGGUAAAGAAGCACCGGCUAACUACGUG
This 468-nucleotide ribosomal RNA is filed under the name uncultured bacterium. RNAcentral describes it as "partial 16S ribosomal RNA". It matches the Rfam family "Bacterial small subunit ribosomal RNA", at positions 28 to 507 of the family's 1533-position model. The record is from RNAcentral.